This 288-nucleotide unclassified non-coding RNA is filed under the name uncultured fungus. RNAcentral describes it as "partial contains 5.8S ribosomal RNA, internal transcribed spacer 2, and large subunit ribosomal RNA". The stretch from base 1 to 52 matches the Rfam family "5.8S ribosomal RNA", at positions 103 to 154 of the family's 154-position model. The record is from RNAcentral. Lineage: Eukaryota; Fungi.
AACGCACCUUGCGCUCCUUGGUAUUCCGAGGAGCAUGCCUGUUUGAGUGUCAUGAAAUCAUCAACCUACAAGCCUUUGCGGUUUUGUAGGCUUGGACUUGGAGGCUUGUCGGCCGUUCUUGGUCGGCUCCUCUUAAAUGCAUUAGCUUGGUUCCUUGCGGAUCGGCUCUCGGUGUGAUAAUGUCUACGCCGCGACCGUGAAGCGUUUGGCAAGCUUCUAACGGUCUCAGUUGGAGACAGCUUUAUGACCUCUGACCUCAAAUCAGGUAGGACUACCCGCUGAACUUAA